GUGGGGAAUCUUGCGCAAUGGGCGAAAGCCUGACGCAGCCAUGCCGCGUGAAUGAUGAAGGUCUUAGGAUUGUAAAAUUCUUUCACCGGGGACGAUAAUGACGGUACCCGGAGAAGAAGCUCCGGCUAACUUCGUGCCAGCAGCCGCGGUAAUACGAAGGGGGCUAGCGUUGCUCGGAAUUACUGGGCGUAAAGGGCGCGUAGGCGGACAGCUUAGUCAGAGGUGAAAGCCCAGGGCUCAACCUUGGUAUUGCCUUUGAUACUGGCUGUCUUGAGUUUGGGAGAGGUGAGUGGAACUCCGCGUGUAGAGGUGAAAUUCGUAGAUAUACGGAAGAACACCAGUGGCGAAGGCGACUCACUGGCCCAAUACUGACGAUGAGGCGCGAAAGCGUGGGGACCAAACAGGAUUAGAUACCCCAGUAGUCC
RNAcentral lists this ribosomal RNA (425 nucleotides) under uncultured bacterium. Its description in RNAcentral is "partial 16S ribosomal RNA". It matches the Rfam family "Bacterial small subunit ribosomal RNA", at positions 354 to 796 of the family's 1533-position model. The record is from RNAcentral.